This 1223-nucleotide long non-coding RNA is filed under the name Homo sapiens (human). RNAcentral's name for it is "HSALNT0102389". The record is from RNAcentral. Lineage: Eukaryota; Metazoa; Chordata; Mammalia; Primates; Hominidae.
CCCGACCCCCCUACCACUCCCUACCACUGUACCUUCUUUAGUUAGAGGCUUAAACGCUCAACGAGUAACAGGGUAUGUCGAUGAAUUCUGAUUUUUUUUCAUAAAUCAAAGUUUAGGGCAACCACCCGCCGCCUCCUGCUCACUUGUCAGGAGCUCCGGGUGACGGGGGAAGCCUAGACCAGCUUCCUGUCUGGAUCAGGUUUUACGACCGGGGAAGGAGCUGAAGACACGCGCGCGCACACACACACAAACGCGGGCGCAGACGCAGCCCAAGCGAGGACACCUCCCGCACCCUCGCGGGCUCCCAGCCCUCCUUUGAAUUUGCAACCGGUCGCGGAUAGGUUGGGGGGGUCGUUUCCCAGGAGCUUGGCUCCUCCGUCCUCCUACCCCAUCCCCUGGCCCUUGGAGAUGCUGUCCAGUUCCGUCACUGACCAGAACUGACAGCCACUUGGCCCCCUGCUCUCUUGAGUGCCCAGCAUCCUUUGCUCUGGACGACUAAAUGCUCUCUGUGAGCCUUGCUUGGUUGGUACGGCGCGCGCUGUGCGUGUGGGACCCACUCUUCGGCAGGCACACGACCUUCGUACACCGGCUGGGCAACCACCCACUUCAUCCCCUCCCCGGACCCCGCAGGCUGAGGCCCCAUUGAGAGCGCAGCUGCAGCGUCUCUUUCAGAAGGGCAGAGCAGGCUGCGCGUGCACGGCGCGCGGGGGGAGGAAAAGGGCUGAGAGCUGAGGGAAGUCGACAAUUCAUUGCACCCCAGUCUUCAAGCGUCCCUUCUGCGCGGAUCACGGAGGGACAGACGUGCAUUGGCGCCUUCCCUCGAUCCCUCGCUCGUGCAGGAAAGACUGGACGGUGGGGGCUCUCUGAGUUUGCGAGGGCCACGGAGGCGCCCCAGGGUGCCAGGCGCCCUUGUCAAGGGCCGCGCCCGAAGCUCCAGAUUCAGUCCCCAGCACCUGUAGGAGGCGGUUUCGGGUCUGAGAGAAGGGAACAUAUGGCAGGUAGUUAACAGGGAGAGGCUGCGCCCUGGGCGCAGUUACGAGGAAGCCAAGCUCUGCGGAAGGUCUCGGCUCGCUUUGUCCUCCUUGGAUCAGCUGGUCUCUGCCUUUCCGCUGGCAGCCGCGGCAGUCAGGCCCUGGCGCAAGCGUCCGGGUGGAGCUGCCUACUCGACCCGGGGUGGCAGGGGUUGAGGGGGCGGCAAAACCACCCCAGUGGCCCCAGCAGGC